RNAcentral lists this unclassified non-coding RNA (230 nucleotides) under plant metagenome. Its description in RNAcentral is "partial contains small subunit ribosomal RNA, internal transcribed spacer 1, and 5.8S ribosomal RNA". The record is from RNAcentral.
UCUCCGUAGGUGAACCAGCGGAGGGAUCAUUACAGAGUUGCAAAACUCCCAACCCAUUGUGAACGUUACCUAUCCCGUUGCUUCGGCGGGCGGCCCGGGCCCCGCGCCCGGCGCCCCCCGGCCCCCCGUGGGCGCCCGCCGGAGGUAAACCAAACCCUUGAAUUGCAUGCCUCUCUGUGCCUUCUGUGCUGAAUAAGUCAAAACUUUCAACAACGGAUCUCUUGGUUCUG